GCUUGUGAAGCUCAAUUGGUAGAGCAGAACACUGAAGCUGUUUUGGUUGUAAGUUCGAGUCUUACCAUAGGCA
This 73-nucleotide transfer RNA is filed under the name Ilyonectria destructans. RNAcentral describes it as "tRNA-Phe". It matches the Rfam family "tRNA". From Rfam's summary of the family: Transfer RNA (tRNA) molecules are approximately 80 nucleotides in length. Their secondary structure includes four short double-helical elements and three loops (D, anti-codon, and T loops). Lineage: Eukaryota; Fungi; Ascomycota; Sordariomycetes; Hypocreales; Nectriaceae. The record is from RNAcentral.